Molecule: ribosomal RNA, 483 nt
Filed under: Triticum aestivum (bread wheat)
Lineage: Eukaryota; Viridiplantae; Streptophyta; Magnoliopsida; Poales; Poaceae
Description: partial small subunit ribosomal RNA
Source: RNAcentral
AUGAUAUGGAAUAAUUGGGCACCAAAGGUCAAGUUCUUUGCUUGGUUGGCCUUUCAGGACAGAAUUUGGACUGCCGAUAGACUUGCAAAACGUGGAUGGAAAAAUUGUGGCUUAUGCCCGCUUUGCAAACGAGAGCCCGAGAUCGGGCCAUAUCUCUUCUUCAAAUGUCGUUACACCAUCAGACUCUGGAGCAUGCUGGUCACAAAACUUGGCCUUGAACAUGUUGAUAUAUCUACAUGGCACUUGGCGGGAUCCGUUGAGGAGUGGUGGGAUAGAAGAACUGACAUGGAUAUUCCAUCACGCAAGGUCAUGGCCUCUUUCACCAUACUUGUCUCUUGGGCAAUUUGGAACGAAAGGAAUGCCAGGGUCUUUCGACAUAAAAGUGCACCGCCCCUGAUCGUCCUCAACAUCAUUCUCGAGGAAGUGAAACUAUGGGUCGCCGCGGGUGCAAAGAAACUAGGGGAAAUCAUAAUACGCGAGUAA